UAAUUUGUGAUGGACUAGUUGGAGCACCCCUGCAGGGUUAAAUCUUUCGGAAAGCCGUGCCUGCGGUUAUGUGGCAACGUGGAAAGUUUGUUUAACACUGGUUCUAGAUAACUUGAAGUUAACUUAAUUAAAAACAUGCCAACUGUGUGCGUAACCGUGACUGUCUCUUUCGUGAGUUCCUUCUCCGAUCGAGGACACGGUGGGGUUAUGUCUGUCGUAGGUAGGUGUUCAGGAUCAUUCAUUUGAUCAUCAGUAGUUCACGUCCGCUAUGCGUAGAUCUUCCCCCUCUUAAUUCUUGUACUCGUAAGUUAGCCACCGAAUAUAUGCUUAGCCGCUGCUGCAACCUCACCACUUAACCAUACCUCACCCAUUAAACUUUGCUAGUCUUGAUACCUUCAGAAAUGAGAUUGCUGAGUCCCCUGUGGCUCACAGAUUACUACAACACCAGUUGCAGGUACAGGUAAAGGUUACUUGAUGCGAGCGCGUUGAUUGUUCAUUUGGAGUUGCUUCUUCUUCUUCGAUCUAGGAGGGGUUCCAGGCUGGCAGCCUGGGAUAGCAAGGAUGGACGUCGUUCUUCUUUUGUCGUUUGUUUUCGUCCGUAGUCGGACCCUGCUCUUACUCUUGAUGAUUAUGUAAUGUACUGAUGUGACUCUGAUGUAGCUUGUGGCGAGUGUAAGCCAACCCUUUAUAUAUCUCAUCUUUUCAGUACAUGUACUUGUAACGAUAUCCAUUCUUGCGACACGAUGAGAUGCGCUUCUAUCCCUGACGAGGCCUUCGUGCCAAGUUGAGGAUAGGGUCGCAUCUGGGCGUGACAAACACGCAUCGGCAACCAAUUUCAGAGGCUAAGAUUAGGUAGAGGAGAGUUUAUAUUGCUUGGAAUUUUGGGAGGAUGGGUUAAGCACGCCACAGGCGACUAGGGUUUGUACCCAAUCAUCUAUUACAUGCCUCAUAGGGCUGGAAUGAGAGGCCUAAAUAGGCCAACUCGCCGAAAGCAGUAAAAGUAAAUGAGCUGGCGGUAGUUGGCUUGCCGUUAGAUGUGAGAUUGACGCUCCACCCGCUUCGUAACUCGAAUCGGUAUCGCUCUUUCUCCAUCGUUGGAUGAUAGAUCAACUACUGUCGAUGCAUAUGACACGCAGAAACACGGGAGGCUCGACCCUCACAAUUCGCCAUGUUAAGCUGCAGCUUGCCCUCAAGCUGCAAACGAAGGAAAAACUUUUUGAAUGAACGAUGAAUCCUCCCAUGUUGCUUGCUCCACUGGCAUGUUGACCCACUUGACUAACCAUCUCAGCACAGGAAUGCUAAUAUCUCCUUGAACUCUGGGAAUCAAUUUCCUUUCUAACACAUCUUCUGGCUCCAUUUUAAUCACUCCAGCAGGACCAAUUAAGGGCAAAUCCUUGGAGGGUACAACAGAAGGCCCAAUAUGCUUCUUUAGCUGACUCACAUGGAAUGUAGGGUGCAAUUUGCAACCCGCUGGCAGGAGCAACUUGUAAGCAUGAAGGCCAAUCCUCUGAAGAACUCUGAAAGGCCCAUAAAACUUUGAAUGCAGUUUUAAAUGCAUGUGGAGACUAAGAGAAGUGUGUCUGUAGGGCUGUGGUUUCAAGUAUACCAUGUCCCCCUCUACAAAUUCCCUUUCCUUUCUUUUUUCAGCAAACCACUUCAUUCUGGCCUGUGCCUUGAGCAAAUUCUGCUUGAUUACUUCCAAAGCCAACUCUCUGUUCUGAAGAAAAUUAUCAGACUCCACAGAAAUGGAAUCAGGUAGGGCUGAUUCAGCCACCAUAGGAGGAGGAAAACCAUACAAAGCUUGGAAGGGAGUCAUUUGUAAGGCAGUAUGAAAACUGGUGUUGUACCACCAUUCAACCAAUGCCAACCAACCAUGCCAUUUCCUGGGCUGUUGGAAGCACAUACACCUCAAAUAAUUUUCCAAGCACCGAUUUACCCUCUCAGUUUGUCCAUCAGACUGAGGGUGGUAGCUAGUACUCAUAUGCAGCUUGAUCUUUAAGGACUUAAAUAGUUGCUGCCAUAGAUUGCUAGUAAAGAUCAUGUCCCUAUCAGUCACAAUCACCACUGGCAUCCCAUGCAAUUUGAAAACUAUUUCAGAAAAAAGCCCUAGCCACAGAUUCCACAGUAAUAGGGUGUUUCAUACCAAUGAAAUGAGCAUACUUGGUAAAUAUGUCCACCACCACCAAGAUGAGAUCCUUGUUCUCACACAUAGGUAAACCUUCCACAAAGUCCAUGCAGACAUGAGCCCAAGCAAAGUCUGGUACAUAUAGUGGUUCUAACAAGCCUGGAUAAGGACAAUGUUCAGCCUUAUUAAUUUGGCAGACCGGGCAAGCUUUGAUAAAUGCAGUGACAUCCUCCUUUAAUCCUGGCCAAUGAAACACUAGCUUAACUCUAUGAUAGGUAGCCCUUUCACGAGAGUGACCCCCUAAUUCAGAGCUGUGAAAUGUUUUCAGUAAUUCCUGUCUGAGAGCAGUUGCUUUACCCACUACUACCUUGUUCUUGAACCUCAGGAUGCCAUUCCUAAAUGAAUAAGAACUGGCUUGAUCCUUUGUCAUAGUGCACCGAGAAAUCAGCUCUUUAAUCCUAUCAUCCUGACUGUAACUCUUGACCACUUCUACUACCCAAGUGGGAGUAGUGCUGCUGGCCACAAGCAUAGAUACUAGGUGCUUCACCCUCGAUAGUGCAUCAGCUGCUUUGUUUUCCUUGCCUUUUUUGUAUUCAAUGGUGAAAUUGUAUCCCAACAAUUUGAGUAACAACUUGUGCUGCACUCCCUCAGUGAGUUUUUGUUCCUGCGUGUAUUUUAAGCUCUCUUAAUGUGUUCUGAUAACGAACUGGUAGUCGGGGCCGGCUACAAUGAGUGGGGAGCCACCAAGAUCUCGCCAGUUUCAUGGCCCCGGGGCGAGAUGGCAACCACCGCGGUCCCCCUUCAUAUCCACGCUCUUCUUUCUAGUGUACUGUCGCCGUUCUCGAGCUUCCUCAACGCAGUGCUUUCGCAUUACCAGAUCCACGCGCUCCACCUUGACCCCAGUUCCUUGGUUCUCCUCUCGGCCUUCGCAUUCUUGUGAGAGGCCUUCGUUGGUGCUACCCCUUCUGUGGCAUUACUUCGCCACUUCUUCUCCCUCGAAUUGGUCUCCGAGAAGCAGUGCUCCGGGUGCGCGUCCUUGACAGCGACCGACGCCUCGACCCCGGGGGCCCUCGACGUCCAGCUCCUCCCCGAAGCAAAGGGGUUCUGGCAGUAGUGGGUGCAGGUCUAAACUGUUGAGGCCGGAGCCCUAUUCCGGCUCCCAUCAACCCUCGCAACACCAAACCUGGGGUGGAAGCGCCAGGAGCUUAAUGACACCCGGCUCACGCCGGUCCUGUUCCGGUUGGAGAAACUGAAGCGGGCGGGGGUGACGAUGAAGAUGGUGGUGCGGGAGUUUAUCCGUCGGCGGAUCGCUCCUCUCCAGUGUCACUCCUGUCCGAUGUGGGCCUACACGGGACCUCGCGACGCAAUGAGGAUCCAGGUCCUGCCUCUCUCCACUGACGUCGUGUGCGAGUUGCUCCAUCAGCUGACUGGUGGCGAUCCUGGCGAGCUACCCCAGAAUGCCCUCCCAUUGUAUAACUUCAAGGCCCUGGAAGCUCUUGUCGCAGGGGUGCCACUCUUCGUUGAAUGGGGGUUCCUCCUUGGGGGGGGCUCGCACCCCCGGGGGGCCUCGACCCACGAGGUUCAGACCCACGGGAACUCUGGUCGUGCUGCCCCUCCCGCAUCCGGCGUGGGCGGUGUAUCACCGCUUGCUCCCCCGACUCUUGCUCCAGGUCGAGCAACGGUUGGUGGUGACGACCGGUCGGCGGUGAAAGUCGCCGCCCCCACCAUCAAGCUCCAGUCAAGGGUCGUCGGGUCUCCACGCCAAGCCACCAGCGUCGGCCGGAAGAGGAGGUCGCCCGAGGGCAGCCGCCCCUGGAUGCGGUGGGCCCCGGUGAAGAAGAAGUGGGUCGCCAUGGACGAGUAAGUGCUCGUAACCUCCUUCGUCCUUUCCUUUGGCGCCUCCCUUCUGACACUUUGUUCUGCACGCUCUCCACAGGCGACACGGGAGGCGGAUCGGUGCUGCCCGCCCAUGAGAUCGCUGAGCACCUUGAGGCUUCUCCCCUGGCACUUCGGGAGGUUCAAUCUUCCGAGUCCCCCGCGCAUGAGCCUCCCGCGGUUCCUCCUAAGGGCGUUCUACGCCUCCCUUUCGGACCCCUUCUUCCUGGUGACGUGGGGCCUCAGGGGGCGCUUCCCUUCAAUGAAGCACCUGCGUGUGAGCCCCCAGCCCGUGUGUAUGGAUUCGGGCUAAGAGGCUCCUCGCACACCUCUCCCGUUCGCCAUGUAGAAAGUGAGAGCUCUUGUUGGCCGUUGCUGCCUGUUGAAGGUGUGCGUGCCACGCCGUGGGGCUUGCUCUGCACUGCGGCGGACGCGCUUCAGCGUCUGGGAGCGGGGCUCGCCAGCAAUGAAGUCCGCGUGAAGGAUGAUCGCCGACACCUUGCGUCGGGGUGGCGCGAGCUUGAAGUCGCCGUGAAUCUUGGUCGUCUACAGCAUGAGCGCGCCCGCGCGGAGGUAUAGAGGUCUCUUGCCGCAGCGGCGGAACCCCACGAGCACGCUCUCUCUGAGGCUCAAGAGGCUUAUUGUCGGCGCAGGGCCUCCGAGGAUCGCCACAGGGAGCUUUGCGCCCUCAACGCCGAUCAUGAAAAACAAGCUUGGUUGAAGGCCACCCGAGGGGGUCCGCCCGCUGAGUUCUUCCCUGCCAUUGUGGGCUUUCGAGCCUCCGCCGACUCGGUGGCGCUGGUAGAGGUGGAGCAGAGCAUGGAGCGGGAGCGUCUGGAGGUGCAGGAUCGCCAGGUGUCGCUUGCUGAGGAAUCUCUUGCCUCUCGUGAGGCGAAGCUUUAGGAGGAGAUCGACAGGGGGUGGCAGAGGCUCAUCGUUCCCUUCUUCUUGACUAUCGUGCGAAGCUGAGGCUCCAGAAGUCCCGCUUCUGCGAGCGCCACGACCACCUGAAAAAGGAGGUCAAUGCCCUCUAGGAAAGGUUGGAUCAGGAAGUGAAACGUCGACAGGUCAUGCUGGACGCCCAGGCUACUGUCGAAGGUAAACUGUUUCUUCUUUACAAACAGGUGAAAGGCGCGGCUUCCCUGGUUGGAGAGACCUCCGGAGAGGCGAUCCAUGCUCGUUGCCUCCAACUUGAACACUCCCGGAUGUUCCAAUCCCUCGAGGGGAGAGCCUCCCUGGCUUUGAGCGACAUCUGUGGCGAGGGUGUCUCAAGCCCCCUGGUCCUCGAUGACAGUGGGUACAUGGUAUUCUUCCUCCGUGUUGUGGAGCGUCUUGAGGCGGGUGCCGAGAAGGCCCACGCACUUGCAGAGGAGAAGAGUCGUGACCUCUUGGGCCAAGGGGCCUCGGACGUCUUCGGCCACCUCCUUCGCCUCGACCCAGACUUUGACUUCGCCGCCGUGCUGGAUCUGGUGCCAUAGACGAUCUGCGCUACCCUGGCCGAAUGGGUAGAGGUCCGUGUCGAAGACCUGGUGACAAGGCUCGCUCCCGAAGAUUGCGGCGUGAGCUCUGGCGAUAAUGCGUCAUCCUGAUCCGCCACCUUGUCCUCCUGAUAUGGUUACGUACUAGGUUUAAUAUCAACUUUGAUGUAACUAGAGGGUAAAUUUCAACGCGCCCUUUGAGGACGAGGUGUGUGCGAUGUUUUUGUCCUGGCUAUGGCCGCUGCCAGCCCCGUGUUGUCGCGACACUAAAGGUCUAACCCACGAGCAUGGCUCCGUUCGUGAUGAUUUCUCCCUGCUUGUGGGGUGGUUUGGGGACCCUUUCGGCACUCUGUGUCUGCAGGUCCCUGUCCCGUGCAUUUCCCUACCGCCGUGAGGCAACCCGUUACCAAGGUUGUUCCUCAUGGGGCAAAGCAGCAAAGCCCCGACUCCCUGGGUGCCAGUGUCGGUGGCACCUGGGUGGUCGGGUGGCCUUGCGACCGUUAAGGCUCCUGAGGCAUGUUGCUCAGGAGUCCCCCUUACACUCAAAUCGCUCUACGUCGACUGGUCCUAGUCCUGCACAUUUCCCCACCACCAUUAGGUAUGUCCACGAAGGGCGCAUCUAAGGGGAGGGGCCUCGCCUCCCCUGAUAUCGACCGGAAUUCCAGGACGACAUCAAGGAGGGCAAGUGGCCUUAUGACCGGUAAGGCUCCUGAGGCGGGCCUCAGGAGUCCCCUUUGGCGCUCGAGCGAUUCCCCCAUUCCGCCCCCUUGCGUUUUCCUCGGGAGGCCUAGCGGUCUCCCGUGGUUUCCGCAAAACACCAAUCAAAACAAAAGGAGAAAGAGGACUUGAGUUUGGUAAAACGAAAGAAACAUGGAGAGGAAAUCCCUGCCCUUCUUUUCUUUUAAAAACAUUUAAACAAAAAGAUCUUCAAGCCUUUGAUAGCUCAUAAUACAAAAGGGGAGGCCCUCGAGGGUCGCAACUUGAAACGCGAGAGAAGAACGAGAAAAUGGACGCGUCCGGCACCUAAGCUAUUCACCGCCUCCGUCUCCCCCCAGCACGGAGCAUAGGGCUUCCACUAGGCAUGGGAUGGACCCCUCCGCGUCCUCGGGGUGCCCUGGGCGUAUACAGCCUCGGCUCAUUAUUGCGUGAGAGUGUCACGGUGGGGGUGUAUCUGGGAGGUCGCGAGGACACUUUGGCCUCGCGAGUGUCCCUACCCCUGAGGCAUAGGCUCCUGAUUCCAGAAGUCAUUGGUGGACUGUGUUGAUUGCCUCUGUCUUCUCCCCAGCACGGAGCAUAGGGCUGCCACUAGGCGUGGGAUGGACCCCUUCCACGUCCUCGGGGGGCCCUGGGCGUAUACAGCCUCGGCUCAUUAUUACGUGAGAGUGUCACGGGAUGAAGUAGGUUCCGGAAGGAUUGAAGUACGGUGCAGAGGCGUCACGGGUCGAUGCAGGUCCCGGGGACGCUUCACGAGCCCCAUGCCUCUCAGGCACGUGCUCCGCUGAUGGUCCCCGGGAUCAUAGCGAAAUGGCAUGACCCGCCCUGAGCGAUUCCUCGAGCGUGGGGGAGCCCCCAGUGCUCGCUGGCUGGAGGGCUCGCCAAAACGGUAGGUUUUGAGUCCCCGAGGUGUUGCCCAAACGCGCCUCGCUGAGGCCCCCCAGGUUCCCAUGUUUGUACCCUAGGACAUGCCCCCAGGUCGGGCUAGCCCAUCCUGAGGACAAUGGCGGGUACCCGAAUACCCGCUGGCGAUCAAACAAAGCCUGCAAUGGUGACAUGGGUGUGUGUUCCACCCUCAGUCCUCAGGCGGGCGUCGCACGCCCCGGAGGCACGGGCGGAUAUACCAUUCCCGGUCUCCAAGUGAGGAUCGUCUCGCCCGGGAACAUGGGCGUGUGCUCCACCCUCCGUUCCCGAGCUGGGGCCUCUCGGCUGGGACACAAGGGUGCGUCCAACAUGUCCCAGGCGAGAGGUCCCCGGUCCCCAAACCCACACGUCUGCCAGAAGCAGCUCCCGGCCAGCAGGUGUGCCUUGCAAGGACACCCGCAUUGUUGUUCAUACCUGUUCGCACGGGGGCUGCCUGCCGGGUCGCGUGCGUGCCUCCUACAACGGUGAUGAUCCGCUCUGAUUCCUGCGUGGCCCGGACGUGCGCCUUGAGGGGUUGAUGUAGCCGGGCCUCCGGUACUCCCUCCUUGUUCCGUGAAGCACGUCGGGGAAUGAUGGACGAAGCCUUCCCAGCGCGGCCAAAUCCCGCGGCUCCAGCAGCUCCCACUGAGCCCUGAGUGGGGGCGGGCCUGAGUGGGUGUUUGGGGCGCGCCCGCGUUGUUCCCCUGUUGUAGCCCCUGGCGAUGCUGGCUAACGAGCGCGGUUCCCCCUGGAGUGCACUUGGGUCCCACCGGUGACGUCAUUCCCGAGAGCGCGCCUGUGACCGCCGAUGCGGCGGCGACGAACAGUGUGUCGACGCCUGAGCUCAAGCGCCACCAGGAGCAUGACAUGCCUGUGCGUCGGGUGCUGGCAGACUCGAAAGGUGGAAGGGGCAGCCUGGACGCGUGGAGGGGUCGGGUCGAUGGGGGAAUGUCGCGUGGUUGGUGAAGGAGGCAGCCCCCGACGCUCAUUGGAAACCUGUCUGGUGUGGACGCCGACCGAUGGGGUGGUGGAGCGUUGUAGGGCGUCCAGGCCUGCCCGCGCAGGCCGCGCCAUGCAUGUGGCCUGCCUCUCCGUGCGGAUUCGCCGUCUCCCUACCAUGUGUGUGACCAGCUUCAGCGGGCCGAGCCCUGGGAGAGACCUUGACACACACCCUACGUGGCGGCCAAAUGUCGGAUUUUGGGCUCCGCAAAACCCUUAAGAUUCGAACUCAGGGGCGUGUACGAAGAUCUCUCGUGGCUCGCCUCACUUAGCUCGCCGCUCGUAGGGCAUGGCAGAGAACUCACUCGAUGGUGAGGAAGACACCGAACACGGCAGUUUACCCAGGUUUGGGCCACUGAGAAGCGUAAUACCCUACUCCUCCUUUGGUGGAUUGCCUCUCGUGGAGGUUCAUGAAUGAACUAGUACAGUGUUCGAGAGCCUCCGGAGGGUGAGUGGCCUUCACGGGGUGUGGGUGUGCGAAUGAAGGGACCCCCCUCUAUGAAGCAACCUAUCCUCGAUAUAUAGCCGCAGCCCGGGUCCUCUUCCCUUAUCGCAAGGGCGGGAAAGGAUCCCACAAUGGCCAAUGUUAAAGGGGGACAAAGGAACGUGCUCACCCUAUCCAAAGGUGGUGCAAAACCUGGUUAUAAAUCUCGUGACCGUAUGGACUUUUUCCAAAAAUUGGGACCAAUUAAAUUUUUUGUGAAUGCUUGUGAUGCUUGGAGUGACUAUGGUUUGCUUGCUUGCUUGUAUGCUUGUGUUUGAUUCUCAAUAAUUCAUGUUACUCUCCUUAGCCCAAAACUCCUCCCUAAUAAUCAUACCAUGUGUUUAGGACCAGAAACUAUUAUUUACCAAAUAUUAUUUUCACCAAAAAUCAUUUCUUUAAAUUAAGCUUUCAAAACCCGUGAGAUGGGAUUUGUACUACAAGUCCUCAAAUUAGGGAUUUUAUUUUGCACCAAUUAUUUUAUUUAAAACCCAUUAUCAAAAUGGCUUACCAAAACCAAAAUAUUAUAAUUUUAAAAGUUAUUUUACUAUUUUAUUUAAAUGCCUUCAUGUGAGGCCAGAAAUGGUCUCUUAUGAAGGAAAGUUAUUUUUAUUGCAUUAAAAAUAUUCGUGAAAAUUUAAGCAAACUCAGUGGACAUAUAUAUUCUAUAUAUAGGAGUUUCAACACAUGGUCAUGUUCAAAAUAUUGGGCAAAUCCCUUCAAAACCCUUCCUGCCUAUUUCAAUCUUUUGGAAUAUUUAAUUCCUGCAAAAUUCUAGCAUAUACAUAUAAUAUAUGUGAUGAUCUUGCCAAGUUUCACCUCAAUACAAGUUGAUUUGAUUCCCCUAAAUAUUCUAAAACCCUAUCUGUCCAGAUCCAAAUUUGAGCAACUCUACAUUGUCAAGUGUCUCCAAUUGUGUCCACAUUUGGUAGACAUGUUCUCAUACUCCAAUAAUGCAUCCACACCAAGUGGUGCAUCAAGGAGAAUGGAAUAACUUGUCCCAAGCCCCUCAAAACCAUCUGUGUUGAUUUCUGACUUUGGGAAACUUUACAUUAUAAAGUUUCUCCAAUUGAUACCAAACUUUUUGGGCAUAAUUUAAGGCUCAAAUAAUGCCCCCACACCAAAUAUUGGAUUUGUGGGAAUUGAUUUGCAUAGCUUUGUAAGCAGAAGGCCAUUUCUACCCAUUUCAUGGGUUUUCCAAGUCUACAUUGGAAACAUUCUCCUCCAAAGCCCAAAUUUGGUGUCCAAAAUUAUUUUAAUCUAUUAUUUGAUCAUGUUAAGUUUCAUAUCAAUUGAAGUUCAUCUGUUUGCCCUGACACUCAUCAAACACCUUGUGUGCACUCAGCUAAGUGGCUACUUUGGCCCCUUCCACUUUUACCCUUGAUCUCAAAUUUCUACCACAACUCUAUAUAGUUACAUUCUACCUCUAGUAGCAUUGUCAUGACCUCUGGUCAAUUAUUGGAGAGAGGCUCCAUGUAAGUACUUAUCUUUUUUACCCUUGGAUCACCAUUUUUACCCGUCUUGCCCCACCUCUGCUUAAGUUAAUGACCCCAACUCUUUCCAGAGGGUCCCUAGCAUCCCAAGGCAUCAUUUCAAACCAAGAUGUGGCAUGCUCAUGUGGGGAAAAUGAGCAACACAUCUACAAGUUGAUUUAUGGAUGAAAUGUAUCUUUGCACAGUAAGGACUAGGUACCCUGCUCUAAUUGAUCUCAAACCUGGCAGUGUUGUAGUCCUUAAAUAGCCAAGCAUGCUAGACAAGGUCCCAUCCUGAGAUCACUCCAUUAAGCACCCUCAAUCCUAGACCUAAGUUUGUUGUAGCAAACUUAACCUCGGUAAAAACCCAUUCAAACCAGCUCCACUAGCUACCAAACUCCUCACUCACACUCCAGAUAGUAUGCCCCACUUCCCAGACAUCAUUGACUCGUCAAAUUGGCACUCUGGGCACAGCUGGCCACGGUGACCACCACCAUGGCCUGCAAUAUGGGUGCUCUGCACCUUGUUUCGUUCCUCCAGUCGUAUCUAGCCGAUGCAACCUGUCCUAGCAUGCCAAAGCUCCUCCUUUUAAUCGUUCCAAUCACUCCCCAACACUAGCUAGCCUCCAAGCUUCAUCUGGGGCACGUGGCAUCCAUGCACAGGGAGCUCCCGAGAGCUCCCGAGCUCUCUCUCUCCGUGCCCCUCCCUUAUCAUUUCUCCCUCGAGACACUACUGCUCCUGCAUCUCUCUCUCUCCCCAGUGCACCUGCAGAGCUCCCCCUUGGCCCCCCUCUCCUCCAGAGCUUCUUCCUCUCCUUCCCUGGUCGCCAUGGCCAGCUUCGGCCAUGCUCGCGUCCGAGCUCUCCAAUCCCCCCUCUCCAUCCCUAGUACCUCCAGGAGAACCCUGAUGUCAACUGUUCUUCCCCUUUGCAACGGCACCAGAAGAAUGAUGUUAGCACUCUCUGGCAAUCGAAACUAGAAGAAUGUUGUUGAUGCCCACCAGCACGUGGGAUCAUAGCAGUUUUCGAGGGUAGAGUAUUUGACCCAAAUUUGUUGAUUCGCACGACGGGAGGUUAGAGAACACUCUCAAGUAUUAGGAGCUGGAUUUAUCAGAUUCAACCACACCUGAAAGAUUAGUAUCUGCAAGCAAAGUAGUAACAACAAAGUAGCGAGUAACAGCAGUGGCAAGGAAUAUCGGUAGUGACAGUAGUAGCAAGUAGCAACAGUAGCAAGCGACAGUGGUAGAAAUAGUAGCAGUAGAGCAAGACAAGUAAUAGCAGUAGCAACAGUAGUAGCAGCAGCAGAGCAAGACAAGUAUCAGCAGUAGCAACAGUAGUAGCAGCAGUAGAGCAAGCUAAGUAACAGCAGUAGCAACACUAGUAACAGCAGCAGAGCAAGACAAGUAUCGGCAGUAGCAACAGUAGUAGCAGCAGCAGUAGGACAAACUCGUAGGCAACGGGUCGGUGAUUUUUUUGGAUGAUAUUCAUCAUGCAACAGUUAUAACACGAAGAGAUAAGUGGCUAGCUCCCGUUCGUCAAUGUAAUGUAGGCAUGCAUUCCGUGUGUCGUCAUACGUGCUGAGGGAAAAGAACUUGCAUGACAUCUAUUGUCCAUCCCUCCCGUGGCAGCAGGGUCCAAAAGGAAACUAUGGGAUAUUAAGGUUCUACUUUUAAUAAAGAACUGGACCAACGCAUUAGCACUUGGUGAACACAUGAACUCCUCAAAGUAUGGUCAUCACCGGGAGUGGUUCCGGUUAUUGUCACUCCGGGGUUGCCGGAUCAUAACACAUAGUAGGUAACUACAACUUGCAAGAUCGGAUCUAAAACACACAUAUAUUGGUGACAACAUAAUAAUUUCAGAUCUGAAAUCAUGGCACUUGGGCCCUAGUGACAAGCAUUAAGCAUGGCAAAGUAGUAGCAACAUCAAUCUCAGAACAUAGUGGAUACUAGGGAUCAAUCCCCAUCAAAACUAACUCGAUUACAUGAUAGAUCUCAUCCUACUCAUCACCGCCCAGCGAGCCUACGAAUAGAUUACUCACGAACGACGAAGAGCUUUAUGGAAUUGGAGAGCGAAGAAGGUUGAUGAUGACGAUGGCGACGGUUUCCCCUCUCCGAAACCCAAGACGGACUCCAGAUCUGCCCUCCAGAUGAAGAACAAGUGGUGGCGGCGGCUCCAUAUCGCAAACGCGACGAAAACUUCUCUUUCUAUUUUUUCUGGGACGAAAGUGAAUUAUAGACCUUAGGUUGGGGGCGGUAGAGCCGUGUGGUCCCGACAAGCCUGCCCACCGCCACGAGGGGGGUGGUGGCGGAGCCAGGGCUUGUGGCCCACUGGCCCACCCCCUCAGGUGGAACUUGGCGCAGGUAUUUUUUAUAUUUUCCAAAAUUGCUCCCCGUAGAUUUUUACGACAUUCCGAGAACUUUCAUUUCUGCACAAAAACAACACCAUGGCAAUUCUGCUGAAAACAGCGUCAGUCCGGGUUAGUUCCAUUCAAAUCAGGCAAAUUAGAGUCCAAAACAAGGGCAAAAGAGUUUGGAAAAGUAGAUACGAUGGAGACGUAUCAACUCCCCCAAGCUUAAAACCUUGCUUGUCCUCAAGAAACUCAGGUGACAAACUAAGAGAGAAAAAAAAACUUUGACAAACUCUGUUUGAUCUUGUUGUUGCAACUAUGUCUAACUCAUAACCAGAAUUUCAGCAAGAUCACAAGUUAACCACAUAAGAAAGUGACACAAAGGUCUCACGGUAAACUAAUAUCAAUGGCAUAAUCAGCUAACGAGCAAAUAAUAAUGAGUUUCAAAUACCAACACUUCAAUCAAAACAAGCAUGAAGCAAUAUGAAUAGGUGGUAUCUCGCUAGCUCUUUCUGAGACCGCAAAACAUAAAUGCAGAGCACUUUCAAAGAUCAAGGGCUGACUAAACAUUGUAAUUCAUAGCAACGAAGAUCCAGUCAUAGUCAUACUCAAUAUCAAUCAAAAGAAAAGCAUAAAAAUGACAGAGGUGCUCUCUAAUUUGUGCUUAUAUAAGAGGAGGAUGACUCAACAGGAAAAUAAACAGACACGCCCUUCGCAGAGGGAAGCAUUGAUUUGCAGAGGUGUCAGAGUUCAAGCUUCGAAAACAGAGAUAAUAAUUUUGGGUGGCAUGCUUUCAUUGUCAACGCAAUGACCAAGAGGUAUCAAUAUCUUCCAUGCUGCUCAUGCUAUAGGCGGUUCCCAAAUAGAAAAGUAAAGUUUUAACUCCCCCACCACCAAUCAAUCACACUCCAUGGCUAGCCGAAUCCUCGCGUACCGUCCAUACUAACAUCAAUCCGGAGGGAGUCUUGUUUUACAGUUAUGUUUUCGAUUAAGCGUGGAACUGGACAUCCAAUUACCGGCCCCUUUCUCGUGAAUGAGUGUGAAUAAACACAUGUCGAGGAUAACACUCCUAGCAUGGAAGAUACCAAUAGCCCCCUGUCACCACAUGAGCGGUUCGGGCAUGCAAAACAGAUUAUUUCUUGAAGGUUUAGAGAAUGGCACAUGCAAAUUUACUCGGAAUGGGAGGUAGAUACCGCAUAUAGGUAGGUAUGGUGGACUCUCAUGGAAAAACUUUUGGGUUUAUGGAAGUGGAUGCACAAGCAGUAUUCCACUUAGUACAACUGAAGGCUAGCAAAAGACUGGGAAGCGACCAACUAAAGAGCGACAACGGUCAUCAAGAUGCAAUGAGUUUGACUAACAUUAAAUGCAAGCAUGAACAGGAUAUAAAUCACCAUGAACACGAACAUCAUAGAGGCUAUGUUGAUUUUGUUUCAACUACAUGCAUGAACAUGCGCCAAGUCAAGCCACUUGAAACAUUCAAAGGAGAAUACCAUCCUAUCAUACUACAUCAUAGUCAUCUCAAAAUCUAUGUUGGCAAUCAAGACAAACCAUUAUAAGCUGUCAGCUAAAUAAGCAUGGCAUCAGAAACUAUGAUCACUAAGUUGUCAUUGCAAACAUGGUUCUCUCACAACAAAGCUAAAUCUGGGUCGACAAGCUAGUCAUAUUUACAAAAACAAAAUAGAUAGAGUUCAUACCAGCUUUUCAGUUUCAGUCACCUCAUCAUAUAUCAUCAUUGGUGCUUUUCAUUUGCACGAUCGAACGAUGUGAACAAUAAUAAGUGCAUUGGCCUAAGCUGAAUCUGCAGGCAAACACAAAGGAGAAGACAAAGUAAUAUGGCUCUUUGAAAGUUAAACAGGUAAGCAUGCAAGAACCACUAAACAUUGUAACCAAUAUCUUCUACCUUGACCCAAAGAAAAAGAAAACUAUUUACACGGGAAAGCUCCCAGCAAGCAAAAGAAGAAAGAAAAAUCUUUUUGGGUUUUCUCAAAAGGACACAAAACAAGAAAACAAGAAAACGAAAAUAAACUAGCAUGGAAAAUACAGUAGCAAAGUGUAAACACCGGCUAACAAAGUGAAAGCAUAAGCGUGAAUGUAAAGUCGGUGAGAACACGUACUCCCCCAAGCUUAGGCUUUUGGCCUAGCUUGGUCUACUCCCAAGGUGGGAAAUAACCAGCUCCAGGAUACUCCGGAGCAGACUGUGGAUGCCACUGUUGUGUGAGCUCCUCUGGCUCCCACUGAUAAACUGGCGUCUCGUACUUGACUUGCGGCUCGGGCACGGGCGCCUGCGGUUGGGCCAAGCCCCCAUAUGCGUAGAUGUCCAAGGGCAUAAUAGUGUACCUGCCUUUAUGAAGAUCGAACAAAGAAGGAGCAUGCAAAGUAAUAGUCUCUCGAGUACCCUGACUAAAUACCAGGUUAUAAAUCAUCCGUCUACUAGCAUCUCUAUCCAAAAAAUCAUGGCGAACCAUGCUGUCAUAAUCCAGAUAUUUCUGAGGGAGAAGCAUCUCUCCUUCCUCUCCCAGUCUAAUGGGUAUCUCAAAGUGUCUGGCAAGACGGGCAGCAUAGAUACCUUCAUAGACAACACCUUUAGAACGGUUCAGGUUCAACCGUUGAGCUACUAUAGCACCCAAGCUAUAAGUCUUAUCGUUAUAAAGGCCUUCGCGCAAAACCGCAAGGUCUGGAGAACUAAGUGAUCCAGCCUCCCUACGGCCAAUCAAACAUUUUCCCACAGAUAGUGAAAAGUAUCGAAGCACAGGAAAAUGUAUGCUAGCAAUUCUAGCGCGAGACACUCCUCUCUCCUCUCCAACAGCGAUAGUACCAAUGAAAUCCUCCAAGUCCCGUGGACGAGGGUCACGGAUAUCCCCAACAUAAGGUAAUUUCCAUACAUUGCAAAAAUCUUGUAGUGUCAUGCACUGGGGAACAUCGUAUAUCAUGAACUCAACCAUGGGAGGAUUCUUCCUCGGAUAAAAGUUGAAGCUUUGAACGAAAAUAUUGGAGGAGGAGGUAUUGUGAGCACUUAUCUGCAACGAACGCAGUAAGACCUGCGUUCUCCACCAAGUAAUAAAAGUCUUCAUAAAGUGUGGCGGCGCGCAAUAAUUAAUCACUUGGCCACUCGCACGCUCGAACUUCUGUGACUCGAGGGACCACGUACUUGGGAUGGUUCAUCUCAUCCUCCUUAGGGUUACGGCUUGAAGAGCCUCUCAAGAACCUCCUCAUCUUUUCCUUUUUCUAGCUCUGAAAAAUUCUGAAAUUUUUAGAGACUUCGAAAGAAAAGUGAACAAGGAUUAACCCAACUUGUAGCAACUACUCCUACUAGUGCCUAGAGACCGUAUCACGUGCUAAAACUACUUGGGACCAGCUAAAAUCAACCUUUCAAGCUCAAGAACAGGGUCACCAAGGUAGCAAGAAUACGCGAAGGAUAAAGCACUAGAGCAAAAACUAAUUGGACCAAUGGAGGAGUCACUUACCAAGGAGUAAUUUCCCCAAAAUGGUUCGGAGAAUGGUGCUUUGAGCAAGGAGAUCGAAAAUCACAACCAAAUGAGCAAGAACACGGGUUUGAGCUGCGAAACAAUUUUUUCUAGAGGUGGAAGAAGAGGUUGAGAGCUGGAAUGAGUGGAGGGGGUGCCUGUGGGCCCCACAAGCUUGCACUCUGCCACUAGGGGGUAGGUGGCGGUGGCAGGGCUUGUGGCCCACUGGUCUGGCCCCCAAGCCAGCUCUCAGGCCCAGAAAUUUUCAAAAAUUCCAGAAAAAAUGAUACUAAAUUUUCAGGACCAUCGGAGAACUUUUAUUUUCGAGGUAUUUUCUCCGGGACGCUAAAACAGAAAACGGGAAAAACUAAACUAAUUCUAUCUAUUUCUUCUAAGCAAAAGAAAAUGAAAGCUUAAAACAGAGGUAUGUGACUCUUUGAUUCAUCCGUUUCAUGGUCAUCGAAAGAAAUCCGUCAAUGGGAUUGAUCAAGUCCUCAUGACAAAACCUUCUCGAAUCGCAAGAGAGAACGGAGAAUUUUCUAAUAGCCACUAAGUCACCUCAAUGGGGAUAUGUAUCUCCCCAACAAGCAAAUCAUACUUCAUCUUGACACGAGGAAUAGGGCAUUCAAAGCUCCCAAUAAGAAUCGAUGAAGUCUUUUCGAUAGCAUUUAUGCAAUGUACUUGAUAUCGUUUCUUCGGAAAGUGCACGGUGUGCUCAUUACUGUUGACAUAGAAAGUGACAUUGCCUUUGCUGCAAUCUAUAACAGCCCCUGCAGUGUUUAAAAAGGGUCUUCCGAGGAUGACAGCCAUGGCAUCAUCCUCGGGAAUAUCCAAGAUAACAAAGUCUGUUAAGAUAGUGGUGUUAGCAACCACAACAGGCACAUCCUCGCAAAUGCUGAUAGGGAAAGCAGUUGAUUUGUCGACCAUUUGCAGAGAAAUUUCAGUGGGUGUCAACUUAUCCAAUUCAAGUCUACGAUAAAGAGAAAGCGGCAUAACACAAAUACCGGCUCCAAGGUCACAUAAGGCAGUUCUUACGUAGUUUCCUUUAAUAGAGCAAGGUAUAGUGGGCACUCCGGGAUCACCAAGUUUCUUAGGAGUUCCACCUUUAAAAGUGUAAUUGGCAAGCAUGGUGGAGAUCUCAAGAUCUGGUAUCUUCCGUUUAUUAGUCACGAUAUCUUUCAUGUACUUGGCAUAUGGAGACAUCUUGAGCAUAUCAGUUAACCGCAUAUGAAGAUAGAUGGGUCUUAUCAUCUCAACGAAGCACUCAAAAUCCUCAUCAUCCUUUUUCUUGGAUGGCUUAGGAGGAAAGGGCAUAGGUCUCUGAACCCAUGGCUCCCUUUCUUUACCAUGCUUCCUAGCAGCGAAGUCAUUCUUAUCGUAUUUCUUAGGUUGUCGGUUAUCAGGAUUAACCGUAGGUUCAACCUCCACAUCCUCAUCAUUGCUAGGUUGAGCAUUAUUAUGAACAUCACUGUCCAUAUUGUCACCAGGUUCAUGUUCAUCACCAGAUUGUGUUUCUGCAUCAUACGCAGAAAUAUCAUUAGGUUCUUCCGGUGUGACAGUAUUUAGUGAACUGGCAUGUAGGUUUAUAUCAUCCUUCUUCUUCUCCUUAGGAUGACUAGGUCUAUCAGCAUUGAUUCCUUGAGAAUCUUGAUCAAUUCUCUUAGGAUGUCCUUCAGGAUACAAAGGUUCCUAAGUAAUUUUGCAUCCUCUAGUAACAACUCUUACAGAGUUGUCAUUUAAUUCAAUGAGCAAGUCAUUCUGAGCUUUAAAUACUUGUUCUACCUGAGCAGUAAUCAUAGAGGCAUGUUUACUCAGAAGCUUCAGACUGUUGACAUUUCUCUCUACACAAGCACUUAAAUGGAUAAGCAUACAAGUACUUUGUUCCAAAUGUCUGCUAACAUAAUCAUUGAAACUCUGUUGUUUGGCAACAAAGUUGUCAAAUUCAUCAAAGCAUAGGCUAGCAGGUUUAUCAAAAGGAAUAUCACUCUCAUCAAACCUACGCAGAGAAUUCACUUCUACUACCUGUAUCGGGUUAUCGAGACCAUGGAUCUCUUCGAUAGGUGGUAGAUUUUUACAUCUUCAGAUCUAAUGCCUUUCUCUUGCAUAGAUUUCUUAGCUUCUUGCAUAUCUUCGGGACAGAGGAAUAGAAUACCUCUUUUCUUAGGAGUUGACCUAGGAGGUGGUUCGGGAAUAGUCCAAGCAUUAUCGUUGAUGAAGAUGUUAUUCAGUAGGGUCUCAGCUUGUUCUACAGUUCGUUCCCUAAAAACACAACCGGCAAAACUAUCUAGGUGGUCUCUAGAGGCAUCAGUAAGUCCGUUAUAGAGGAUAUCAAGUAUCUCGUUCUUCUUAAGAGGGUGAUCAGGCAAAGCACUUUGUAGUUGGACGAGCCUCCCCCGAGCUUGUGGAAGACUCUCUUCUUGGAGUUGAGCAAAGUUGUAUAUUUCCUCCAAGGCAGCUUGCUUCUUAUGGGCACGGAAAUAUUUCUCAGAGAAGUAAUAGCCCAUCUCCUGGGGACUACUCACACAUCCGGGAGCAAGAGAGGUAAACCAGGCUUUAGCAUCAUCCUUUAGAGAGAAAGGAAACAGCUUAAGGAUAUAGUAGUGGCGGAUCUUCUCCUCAUUAGUGAAAAGGGUGGCUAUAUCGUGUAGUUUGGCAAGAUGGGCUACAACCGUCUCAGACUCAUAACCGUGAAAAGGAUCGGAUUCUACUAGAGAGAUUAUCUCAGGGUUGACACAGAAUUGAUAAUCCUUAUCGGUGAUAAAGAUAGGUGAAGUGGAAAACUUAGGGUCCUAUUUCAUCUUAGCUUCCCGAGAUUUUUCCUUCCACUUGAGAAGUAAUUUCUCAGCGUCAUAGGCAUCCUUACACGCAAGAAAAUCCUCAGCUAUCUCUCCCUCCAUAACGUAACCCUCAGGUAUAUCAGGAAAUUUAUAUCUAGGAGAGCUAGAUCUAGCAGGAGCAAAAGCAGGUUCUAUCUCAAUAGUAUCUGCAGUAUCAGAAGCAUCACGAGCAUUGGCAGUAACUCUAGCAAUAUGAGCAUCUCUAGCAGUAUCAAGCAUAGCAUCAUCAGGCAAAACAACAUCUCUAGCAUCAUUAGGAAAAGCAGUAUCAAGCAUAGCAUCUCUAGCAGUAUCGGGCAUAGCAUCUCUAGCAGUAUCAAGCAUAGCAUCAUCAGGCAUAGUAUCAGGCAUAGUAUCAAGCAUAGCAUCAUCAGGCAUAGUAUCAUCAGGCAUAGUAUCAAGCAUAGCAUCUCUAGCAGUAGCAUCAUAAGCAUCAUCAAGCACAGGCGACAUAUCAAGAUUUCUUGCAGGAGGUGAUGUCGCAAACUUACUCAUUACUGAAGGUGAAUCAAGUGCAGAGCUAGAUGGCAAUUCCUUACCUCCCCUCGUAGUUGACGACAAGACUUUGGUCUUCGGAUCCUUCAGAUUCUUCAUAGUGAUCAGCAGAUAUAAAUCCCAAGUGACUCAGAGAAUAUAGCAAUACCUCCCCAGCAACGACGCCAGAAAAAUGCUUGAUGUCAACUAUUCUUCCCCUUCGCAACGGCACCAGAAGAAUGCUGUUAGCACUCUCCGGCAAUCGAAACUAGAAGAAUGUUGUUGACGUCCACCAGCGCGUGGGAUCGUAGCAGUUUUCGAGGGUAGAGUAUUCGACCCAAAUUUGUUGAUUUGUACGACGGGAGGUGAGAGAAUACUCUCAAGUAUUAGCAGCUGAAUUUAUCAGAUUCACCACACCUGAAAGAUUAGUAUCUACAAGCAAAGCAGUAACAACAAAGUAGUGAGUAACGGCAGUGGCAAGGAACAACGGUAGUGACAGCAGUAGCAAGUAGCAACAAUAGCAAGCGACAGUGGUAGCAAUAGUAGCAGCAGAGCAAGACAAGUAAUAGCAGUAGCAGCAGAAGAGUAAGACAAGUAUCAGCAGUAGCAACCGUAGUAGGAGGAGCAGAGCAAGAUAAGUAACAGUAGUAGCAACAGUAAUAACAGCAGUAGAGCAAGACAAGUAUCAGCAGUAGCAACAGUAGUAGCAGCAGUAGUAGGACAAACUCGUAGGCAAUGGGUCGGUGAUUUGUUUGGAUGAUAUUCAUCAUGCAACAGUUAUAACACGGAGAGAUACGUGGCUAGCUCCCGUUCGUCAAUGUGAUGUAGGCAUGCAUUCCGUGUGUCGUCAUACGUGCUUAGGGAAAAGAACUUGCGUGACAUCUAUUGUCCAUCCCUCCUGUGGCAGCGGGGUCCAAAAUGAAACUACGGGAUAUUAAGGUUCUCCUUUUAAUAAAGAACCGGACCAACGCAUUAGCACUUGGUGAACACAUGAACUCCUCAAACUAUGGUCAUCACCAGAAGUGGUUCCGGUUAUUGUCACUCCGGGGUUGCCGGAUCAUAACACAUAGUAGGUAACUACAACUUGCAAGAUCGGAUCUAAAACACACAUAUAUUGGUGACAACAUAAUAAUUUCAGAUCUGAAAUCAUGGCACUCGGGCCCUAGUGACAAGCAUUAAACAUGGCAAAGUAGUAGCAACAUCAAUCUCAGAACAUAGUGAAUACUAGGGAUCAAUCCCCAUCAAAACUAACUCGAUUACAUGAUAGAUCUCAUCCUACUCAUCACCGCCCAGCGAGCCUACGAAUAGAUUACUCACGAACGACGAAGAGCUUUAUGGAAUUGGAGAGCGAAGAAGGUUGAUGAUGACGAUGGCGACGGUUUCCCCUCUCCGAAACCCAAGACGGACUCCAGAUCUGCCCUCCAGAUGAAGAACAAGUGGUGGCGGCGGCUCCAUAUCGCAAACGCGACGAAAACUUCUCUUUCUAUUUUUUCUGGGACGAAAGUGAAUNGCGGCUCCGUAUCGCAAAUGCGACGAAAACUUCUCUUUCUAUUUUUUCUGGGACGAAAGUGAACUUAUAGACCUUAGGUUGGGGGCGGUAGAGUCGUGUGGGCCCCACAAGCCUGCCCACCGCCACCAGGGGGGUGGUGGCGGAGCCAGGGCUUGAGGCCCACUGGCCCACCCCCUCAGGUGGAACUUGGCGCAGAUAUUUUUUACAUUUUCCAAAACUGCUCCCCGUAGAUUUUUAGGACGUUUGGAGAACUUUGAUUUCUGCACAAAAAUAACACCAAGGCAAUUCUGCUGAAAACAGCGUCAGUCCAGGUUAGUUCCAUUCAAAUCAUGCAAAUUAGAGUCCAAAACAAGGGCAAAAGAGUUUGGAAAAGUAGAUACGACGGAGACGUAUUGUGACAGCCCGAUGCCGACAUUCUAGAAGCUUCCCCUCUCUUUCUGUUUUCGUCGUGUGGCUUAUUUUAAUUGUCGUGUCAUCAUCGCAUCAUGCGCAUCAUCAGCAUUGCAUCGGUGUCUCCGUUGCCGCCCGUUUUCAAACUUGCAUGCGUUGAUAGUUGCCGGUUUGCGUCGCUGUCCGUUCCGAGCCCGACCGCACACGCACGCACCCGCGGCACCGUUGAAACCCUGUUUUAAAAGUGCGUUUAAAACUUUCUCUGAUCGAGGUGAAACUUGGCACGCGGUCGCGAUUAGAUGUAGCUAGGCCGCCUGUCGAAUUUCGUCGCGAUCGGAGACCGUCUAGUACCCGAACGGUCGCCCGUAGCGGUACUGUCUUCGGUUAUUGUCGGACGUCUGUCGGUGUUUUAAUAGUCGAUGCCGCGCCGCACCACUUCCCUCUCAUCUUGGCCAACGCCACUCCACACACCUAACCCUAAUCCGCCUCUCCGAUCGGACCGCACGAACGCGACCGGAGGGUCGAAAAACCCCCAAAUACCCCCCCCCCUAACCUAGCCCCAUCCUAUAAAUAGACGCACUAACCUGCCUAAUAUGGCUAACCCUAGCCUCUGCCUCGAAGAUCGCGCCAUCCAACCCGGCCGCCGCCACCUGGUCUCUCUCCUCCCGCGCAGGGCCCUCCCAGGCCCAUCUGGAGCCAGCCCAGGCCCGAGCCGCCGCCGCGCAAGCCCNNNNNNNNNNNNNNNNNNNNNNNNNNNNNNNNNNNNNNNNNNGUCUCGUGGGCUCGGAGAUGUGUAUAAGAGACAGGCCCAGUAGGCCUCGCCCGGCCUGCUCCCCACGCAAGCGCCUGGCCCGGCUCCACCAGCGGCCCGAGAGCCCCAAGGUGAGCCAUUCCCCGCCCUAGGCGACUGCUUCUAAAUUGCUCUCAAUGACCGAACCGGCUCUGAUUCGAAUUCGGCCCAAUAACCUUUUUUUCAGGUUUUAGAAUGUAAAUCUAUUUCAAAGAAAUAGACGUUUUUCAAACGACCGUAUCUUUUUACCCGUAAGUGGGAACGAGGCAUGUAGUAUAUGUUUUUGUGGUAGUUUCGCGCGUAGAAUAUGUUUUUGAAACUAGCAUAUUUGCUUAACGCCGUUUAGGGGUGCCUAAUGCUUUGUUUUGCGUGCUGUUACAAUAGGUUCCGAUCCGUAGUUAUUUUUCGCGCGUGUCCGGGUUGUUCCUAUGACGUAGGAUAAAUGUCCAUGCCCUAGGGAGCUAUUUUCCAUGUAUUUUAGCGCGGUCACUCGUAUUUUUGAGUGUAGGGAUUUCCCGUUAGAUUAUUUUUCGUAUCUAGGUGAUUCUCCCGCUUUAUUGUGUGGCAUCAUAUUGUGUUGCAAACCCCACGUAUUUUAUAUGUUUCCGGGGUAGAAAAAUCCCAUGGAUUUUUCUGUGCAAUUAGUUUUAGCAUUAGAGCAAGUUAGUUCACGAGAUAUUUUGCCGUGAUGCCGUUUUGUUUAAUUCGUAGGAUUUAUUCCGAGCCCCGUUCGAAUUAGUUGUCAACUAGAGAGUUGAUCUUGGAUGUUUUGUGUAGUCCCUGGUAUUUUUGGUUGCAAUAGAAACGCAUGUUUAGGUGUUGUUUGUCUGCCCUCAAGUUGCUUGAAUAGUGCUGUUUUAGAGGAGCUGAAAUAUUUCUAAGUCUCGAAUCUGUUAUAUUUUGUUGAUGUCUUGUCUUGCUUGCACCUUGAGAUCUGUAGCUCUUAUGAGGUUGGUCCAAUGGAGUUAGUUGUUCCCCUUAUGUUUCUCUAGCAUGCUGUUAAGUUUCGUGCCUUUUGGAGUCCUAUAGCUAUAGGUUUUGCUGCUGUCAAUAUGGCUUCAGGCUGAAAACUGCACUUUGAUGAGGUGUUAUUUUCACUAAGUCUGAAAUAGUGUGUGAGAUGCCGUUUUGUGUCUUCUUUUCCUAGUGCUCCUUGCUGCCAUGCUAGUUGUUGUUAGUUGUUUGUAGUAGUGCGUCUUGCCCUCUUUCAUGCCAUGCCUUGCUUGAGUUUACCGGAGUUGUGUAGCCGAAGUUGUGAGGCGUAGAAGUUGCUAUGUGGCUGUUUUUGGCAGAUUGCAGUGUUUUCUUGUUUUGCUCGUAGUUUUCGAACCGUAGCUCCGUUUUGAUCGUGUCCUACAUGAAACUUGCUUAGAAUCUCGUGUAGUUUCAUUUUCUCUUGUUGUUCGUAUGUUUUGAAGUGCUCGUAGCCGCCGUUGCACACAUUUUGCAUUCAUGCCAUCUUAUCUUGCGGUGCCCGUAUCUGUUGAUCCGUAGCUCCGUUGGAGUUGUUCUUUAUGUGUAGAUUGCUUGCUUUGACGCGUAUAAUCUCGUGAACCUAUUUGUUUUUCUGUUUGACAACCAUUUAAAUGCAUUAAUUCAGAUCUGGACAGAAUUGUAAAUUAACAUGUGAGGUCGUUUCGGAGAUGCUAUAUGUCGUUUCCGGCCUCACUUAAAAUGCUUAGGUAGGUAGUUUAUUUUCCGCUUCACCUCUUGCAUGUUUAACAACAUUAAUAUUGACGUGUAAAUAACCGGGAGUGAACUAAAUAAUUAACGUGGAGUUUCAUCAAUAUGCAACUCGUGCAUAUUGAACUUCAAUUAAUGUGUAGUGUUUGAUUGUGUGAUUUGCCAUGCCGUGACUUGCAUGUAUUCAGUAGCUCAUGCAUCAUAUGUGAAGUGCAUCGUGUGGUGAAUUUCGUGUGUUGAUUUGUGUUUCCGGUUUCCCCGUCUCGAUAGAGUUCCGCAAGCGUGUCGGAUUGUGAGGACCCGUUCGACUACGUCGGUUCGUCUCCUUCACGGAGGCAUUCUUCUUCCAAGCAGGAUCUCAGGCAAGAUGAUCAUUUCCCCAGAUACCAUUACUAUCAUUGCCAUGCUAGUUAUCGCUUCAAUCGUUUAUGUCUCGUUGCCUACCACAUGUUUCCAUAGCAGCCUCUCAACAAUGUCAUGAUUACCUUCAACCUGUUCGACCUAGCAAACCACUGAUUGGUUAUGUUACUGCUUGCUUAAUCCUGUUGAUAGCGUUGCUAGGGGGGGCAGGUGCAGAUGCUUCCAUGUGAUAACAUGGGUCCCUUGUCAUAUCACCGUAUUAAUACUACUUAUUUUAAUGCACCUAUAUAUCUGGUAAAAGGUGGAAGGCUCAGCCUUUCUAGCCUGGUGUUUUGUUCCACCUUUACCCCCUUAGUUUCGGUUGCCGGUGUUAUGUUCCAUAAUUGAGCGCUCCUAACACGAUCGGGGUUGUUAUGGGGACCCCCUUGAUAAUUCGUUUUAGAUUAAAGCUGUUCUGGCAAGGCCCAACAUUGGUACUACAUUUGCCUAAUCACCUAAUAAAAUUGCACAGGGACUUUCCGGACCCCGAGGAUAUUUUAAUCAACCCCCGGGCCAGUGCUCCUCAUGAGUGUUGGUCCACCCACCUAGCAGUCGGCGGUGCCACCAUGGGGCAACUCGAGGUUUGGCUACCGUCCACUUUGCAUAGACGGUGUGUCCUGAGAACGAGAUACGCGGCUCCUAUCGGGUUCGUCGACACACCGGGUGGCCUUGCUGGAUUAGUUUUACCUUUGACGAGAUAUCUUGUGCAUCGGGAUUCCGGUGAUGCUUUGGGUAAUCUCAGAGUUGAGGUUUUCCACUAGGGAAUCCGACGAGAUCGCGAGCUUCGUGAUUGAGGAUUUCUAUGCGGCUUGUGGUAAUUUGUGAUGGACUAGUUGGAGCACCCCUGCAGGGUUAAAUCUUUUCGGAAAGCCGUGCCCGCGGUUAUGUGGCAACGUGGAAGCUUUGUUUAACACUGGUUCUAGAUAACUUGAAGUUAAUUAAUUAAAAUAUGCCAACCGUGUGCGUAACCGUGACUGUCUCUUUCGUGAGUUCCUUCUCCGAUCGAGGACACGGUGGGGUUAUGUCUGACGUAGGUAGGUGUUCAGGAUCAUUCAUUUGAUC
This 25001-nucleotide long non-coding RNA is filed under the name Hordeum vulgare. Its description in RNAcentral is "long non-coding RNA (HVUL_LNC019279)". Lineage: Eukaryota; Viridiplantae; Streptophyta; Magnoliopsida; Poales; Poaceae. The record is from RNAcentral.